UAAAUUGAGAGUUUGAUCCUGGCUCAGGAUGAACGCUGGCGGCGUGCUUAACACAUGCAAGUCGAGCGAUGAAGUUUCCUUCGGGAAACGGAUUAGCGGCGGACGGGUGAGUAACACGUGGGUAACCUGCCUCAUAGGGUGGAAUAGCCUU
This 151-nucleotide ribosomal RNA is filed under the name Clostridium perfringens. RNAcentral describes it as "partial 16S ribosomal RNA". It matches the Rfam family "Bacterial small subunit ribosomal RNA", at positions 1 to 150 of the family's 1533-position model. Lineage: Bacteria; Bacillati; Bacillota; Clostridia; Eubacteriales; Clostridiaceae. The record is from RNAcentral.